This 95-nucleotide non-coding RNA is filed under the name Erythrobacter sp. Its description in RNAcentral is "Glycine sequence". It matches the Rfam family "Glycine riboswitch aptamer". Rfam says of the family: This family represents the bacterial glycine riboswitch. Glycine riboswitches usually consist of two metabolite-binding aptamers domains with similar structures in tandem. The aptamers cooperatively bind glycine to regulate the expression of downstream genes. RNAcentral also lists the same sequence under 1 other name. The record is from RNAcentral. Lineage: Bacteria; Pseudomonadati; Pseudomonadota; Alphaproteobacteria; Sphingomonadales; Erythrobacteraceae.
CAUUUUUACGCGGGAGAGCUCGGUUCGCAUUUGAACCGGCGCCGAAGGAGCAACCGCCCCGGAAACUCUCAGGUCAAAGGGACCGCGUGAAAGCA